AGUUGGGUGGAUAUAGUUAGCGUUUUAUCAUGGGAAGCUGCUUCAUUUUUGAAACCUGAUGCAAUUGAUGGGAAAGGAAUGGAUCCAGAUGGCUAUGUGAAAGUGAAAUGCAUUGCAACAGGCUCACGUAAUGAAAGUCAAGUAGUUAAGGGCUUAGUCUUCAAAAAGCGUGCUGCUCACAAGCACAUGCCAACUAAUUACAAGAACC
RNAcentral lists this unclassified non-coding RNA (208 nucleotides) under Hevea brasiliensis (rubber tree). Lineage: Eukaryota; Viridiplantae; Streptophyta; Magnoliopsida; Malpighiales; Euphorbiaceae. The record is from RNAcentral.